RNAcentral lists this ribosomal RNA (436 nucleotides) under uncultured bacterium. RNAcentral describes it as "bacterial SSU rRNA". It matches the Rfam family "Bacterial small subunit ribosomal RNA", at positions 339 to 791 of the family's 1533-position model. The record is from RNAcentral.
AUACGGGAGGCAGCAGUGGGGAAUCUUGCACAAUGGGGGAAACCCUGAUGCAGCGACGCCGCGUGAGCGAUGAAGCCCUUCGGGGUGUAAAGCUCUUUCGGCAGGGACGAAACAUGACGGUACCUGCAGAAGCAGCUGCGGCUAACUACGUGCCAGCAGCCGCGGUAAUACGUAGGCAGCGAGCGUUGUUCGGAGUUACUGGGCGUAAAGGGUGCGUAGGCGGUCCCUUAAGUUUGGUGUGAAAUCUCCCGGCUCAACUGGGAGGGUGCGCCGGAUACUGAGGGGCUAGAGUGCGGGAGAGGAAAGUGGAAUUCCUGGUGUAGCGGUGAAAUGCGUAGAUAUCAGGAGGAACACCGGUGGUGUAAACGGCUUUCUGGACCGUAACUGACGCUGAGGCACGAAAGCGUGGGGAGCAAACAGGAUUAGAUACCCCGGU